AAAAACACAAUACCAGGCAUACAUUUGGCAGAAUAAAUGAACCAGGCUUCAGCAGAAGAAACACUUCCUAUAAAUCUCGCCCAAACAGGAAAGGUAAGUGGCCUAAAAUUUUUCUAGUAUUUUCAAAAUGACCCAGUUACAAUAGGAAAUUUCUUCUUGUACUAUUGUCACUAAUCCCGACUCAAUAUCCUUUAAAGGACAAAGAUGCAUGCAUAAGUAAAAAUAUGACAGGUCACAAUCACGCCGGGGUGGUCCUGGGGCGAGGCCCAAGUUCCCUGCACGCGUCGGCACAAGCACGCACACUGUGACGGGGAGGACGUUUACGUACCAUGUCCACACCACUCCAGACUUGGUGAGCGCCAGUAGGAACUGAGCUCCACACUCAAUCUGGCACACCCCCUGUCCAUUUAGUCUCUCAAUGUUCUGGGGAAUGUUGCAGCCUUCACUUCCGCCCCGGCCCAAUUUUCCAAAGUCACCAUCACCCCAGGAAAAUACCAAACCUAGGUUUAAAAAUAGGGAAGGGAAGGGAAGGGAAGGGAAGGGAGAGAAGAAAGGAAAGAUAAAGAAAGCCCAACCUC
Molecule: long non-coding RNA, 578 nt
Organism: Homo sapiens (human)
Lineage: Eukaryota; Metazoa; Chordata; Mammalia; Primates; Hominidae
Source: Ensembl